Molecule: non-coding RNA, 99 nt
Organism: Coprinopsis sp. MPI-PUGE-AT-0042
Lineage: Eukaryota; Fungi; Basidiomycota; Agaricomycetes; Agaricales; Psathyrellaceae
Source: the annotation of a GenBank genome assembly
GACACGAUGGCCGAAUGGUUCAAGGCAACAAGCUGUUGUGCAGUGCGAGGGAUGAAUCUAUACCUUGGUUCAUGCAGGUCCGAUUCCUGCUUCGCGUCG